CCGCGGUAUAUUGACCGUGCUAAGGUAGCAUAAUCAUUAGUUUUUUUAUUGAAAGCUGGAAUGAAGGGUUGGAUGAAAAAAAAACUGUCUUUAUUUAAUUUAAAAAGAAAUUUAUUUUUAAGUUAAAAAGCUUAAAUUUUUUUAAAAGACGAGAAGACCCUAUAGAGUUUAAUAAAUUUAAAAAUAUAUUUUUUUAGAAUUUAAUUUAUUUAUAUUUUAAAUUUAUUUAAUUGGGGUGAUUGAAAAAUAAAUUUAACUUUUUUUGUAUUAUUAUAUUGAUUAAUAAAUUGUUGAUCCGAUAUUUUUGAUUAUAAGAUUAAAUUACCUUAGGGAUAACAGCGUAAUUUUAUUGGAGAGUU
Molecule: ribosomal RNA, 359 nt
Filed under: Diabrotica balteata
Lineage: Eukaryota; Metazoa; Arthropoda; Insecta; Coleoptera; Chrysomelidae
Description: partial 16S ribosomal RNA
Source: RNAcentral